Molecule: RNA transcript, 2283 nt
Organism: Musa acuminata AAA Group (dessert banana)
Lineage: Eukaryota; Viridiplantae; Streptophyta; Magnoliopsida; Zingiberales; Musaceae
Gene name: putative methylesterase 14, chloroplastic
Exons: 7
Source: RefSeq, a predicted model, not a curated record
AUGGAAGUCACUCCAGCGAACGACCAAAUCGCGGGCGGAAGCCAAUUCUUUCUGUUGCCUCAUACUUUGUUACGGGACAAAUCCCCCUCAAGAAGCAGGUUUGGCGCCAUGGCAGAUUCCUCGAGCUUCUCAUCAUCCCAUCAUUUCCAGCUUGUAGCAAUCCAAAUUAUCCAAUUCUUUAGUCGAUGAUGGCUCCAUAACGCCAUUAAAUAUCGGAGCUUGAUGCAGAUGACCAGCCCUACAAGAGCACACCAGCCGAGCGCCGGAGAAAGGAGAAGAUGAGCGAACCCGGCUCGCAUCCCGAAAGACUCCUCCGCCCGCUUUCUCGACGGGAUUUAGUGGAAAAUUUUGGAGUAUUUUCUUCUAUUUUUUGAAGAUUUGUUCUUGCUCUUUUGCUAUUUGUGGCAGGUUCUUGAAGGAUUCCUUGUGAGGAUAGCAUCGAGAUCGAAUAUUUUUGGUUACAUAUCAUCGUUUUUUCGUGGAAUUCCGUGUUGUUUAUGUUUUCCUUCUUCGGAACCGAGACACCAAUCUCGCUUCUUUGACCUAGCAAUUCCUGUUUCGAUUUGUUCUCAUCGGUCAACACAUCCUAAUUCUUGGCUAAUAGUCGUUGGAAUUGGGGGAAACGAGUACAUGGGGAAUGGAUUGGCUUGCAUGCCAAAGAAAGACCUCAGAGGCGGCAUCGGGUCUCGUAGCAGAAGGGGUUCCUACUCGAGAUCACAGAGGAAGACGGCGGCAUCCGAGGAGGAGCUAUUGCACCACCGGGCCCUAGCGAUGGCAAUUCACCAGCACCAGUUGUCUCAACGCUUCGAUGGAUCGAUGUCUCGCAGGAUUGGUUCCACGAGUUCUCGAAGAAGGGACCUUCCUGAUUCUGUCACAAAUGGAAAGCUGCCUCCUGCUUUUCUAGAGAAUCUUGAAACAAGGAAAAUUAUUCUAGUACAUGGAGAAGGAUUUGGGGCAUGGUGUUGGUACAAGACCAUGUCUCUUUUGGAGGAAUCAGGACUACUUCCUGUUGCGUUAGAUCUCACAGGUUCUGGCAUAGAUCAAACAGAUAUCAAUAGCAUCACAUCCUUAGAGGAUUAUGCAAGGCCCCUCAUCACUUGCCUUCAAAGCCUUCCAGAUGAUGAGAAGGUUAUUUUGGUUGGUCAUAGUUGUGGAGGUGCGAUUGUUUCAUAUGCUCUAGAAAGCUAUCCAAGAAAGGUAUCAAAAGCAGUAUAUGUGUGUGCCACAAUGGUAUUGAAUGGGCAGAAACCUUUCGAUGUAUUUUCGGAGGAACUAGCAUCUGCGGAUCUUUUUUUGCAAGAGUCACAAUUUCUAGUGUAUGGAAAUGGAAGAGAUAAACCUCCUACCAGCAUCAUGUUUGACAAACAACAAAUCAGGGCACUAUAUUUCAACCAGAGUCCACCAAAGGAUGUUGCUUUGGCCACGGUAUCAAUGAGACCCAUCCCGCUGGCUCCAAUCAUGGAGAAGCUCUCCCUCACCACAGAGAACUACGGCACGGUCCGACGAUACUUCAUCCAGACGCUCGACGAUCGCAUUCUCUCGCUCGAUGUCCAAGAGAGAUUGGUCCGUGAAAACCCCCCUCAUGGCAUGUACAAGAUCAAAGGCAGCGACCACUGCCCCUUCUUCUCAAAGCCACAGACACUGAACAAGAUUUUGAUCGAAAUUGUGCAGAUCCCUUUGGAAAACGCCCUCAAUGAUCCUUCAUGAGGUUACACAUUGCAAAGUGAUGAGGUGAAACCACAGAGUAAAAGCCAUACUGGAAAUGACAAACGUUUGCACAGGAUUCUUAGUUCAGCCAGCAUUCAUUGUCGAUGUUAAGGGUCAGAGAUGGGGAUGGCGAUCGAGAUCGCAGCCGAUCCAAGAAUUUGAUCCUGAUGGAAGCCUCCGCUUCAUCCCACCCUGAUUUCUACGAUUUCGUCCCUCUCGGAUGUGGCAAUCGGUCGCCCGGAUCUCUUUUGCUCCAUCAAAAGCUCUCUCCACUCGAUUUGAGGGACUCGAUUUGAAACGAUAAAGUAAAAAAGAAGCUGCAACCCUGCCGAAUUAGUUAGCAGCGCCAGUAGCUGCCAUGAGUAGUCACCACGACGAGGGCCUACAGACACUGAAGUCGGCUUCAUCAUCAGCUUGCAGAUGGUCAAUAAAGCUUGCAACAAACAAUGCAGAGGAUGCGUUCAUGUUGUUAUAAAAAAUAAAAUCUAGAUUUACUGUAACAGCUUAUAGCAUUAUUUUCGAAGCCAUGUUAAAAGAUUUUAAAUUCUUUCGAUCCAAUGUCAAAAUUUACCCCUA